This is a small nucleolar RNA of Pseudophryne corroboree (corroboree frog), 134 nucleotides long. RefSeq annotates it as U8 small nucleolar RNA. The transcript has a single exon. The record is from RefSeq and is a predicted model, not a curated record. Lineage: Eukaryota; Metazoa; Chordata; Amphibia; Anura; Myobatrachidae.
UCAUCAGUGAGGUUGUUCCUUACCUGUUCUUCCUUAUGGAGAAACAGACAUGAUGACUGGGGGAGGCUGAGUAUGUUAUUAUACAGAUCCCUUGCACCAUCCUGACUGACAACCGGGGUGUGUGUUAUUCUGAU